This 511-nucleotide ribosomal RNA is filed under the name Pseudoalteromonas tetraodonis. Its description in RNAcentral is "bacterial SSU rRNA". It matches the Rfam family "Bacterial small subunit ribosomal RNA", at positions 373 to 877 of the family's 1533-position model. Lineage: Bacteria; Pseudomonadati; Pseudomonadota; Gammaproteobacteria; Alteromonadales; Pseudoalteromonadaceae. The record is from RNAcentral.
GGGCGCAAGCCUGAUGCAGCCAUGCCGCGUGUGUGAAGAAGGCCUUCGGGUUGUAAAGCACUUUCAGUCAGGAGGAAAGGUUAGUAGUUAAUACCUGCUAGCUGUGACGUUACUGACAGAAGAAGCACCGGCUAACUCCGUGCCAGCAGCCGCGGUAAUACGGAGGGUGCGAGCGUUAAUCGGAAUUACUGGGCGUAAAGCGUACGCAGGCGGUUUGUUAAGCGAGAUGUGAAAGCCCCGGGCUCAACCUGGGAACUGCAUUUCGAACUGGCAAACUAGAGUGUGAUAGAGGGUGGUAGAAUUUCAGGUGUAGCGGUGAAAUGCGUAGAGAUCUGAAGGAAUACCGAUGGCGAAGGCAGCCACCUGGGUCAACACUGACGCUCAUGUACGAAAGCGUGGGGAGCAAACAGGAUUAGAUACCCUGGUAGUCCACGCCGUAAACGAUGUCUACUAGAAGCUCGGAACCUCGGUUCUGUUUUUCAAAGCUAACGCAUUAAGUAGACCGCCUGGG